This 731-nucleotide long non-coding RNA is filed under the name Setaria italica (foxtail millet). RNAcentral's name for it is "long non-coding RNA (SITA_LNC004190)". The record is from RNAcentral. Lineage: Eukaryota; Viridiplantae; Streptophyta; Magnoliopsida; Poales; Poaceae.
GAGGAACUGCAAAAGCAAGGCAACAACACGAAAAGGGAAAACAAAAGGCCGAAGCAUGCUAAAAUAAAAGCAGAGACAAAUGCCGAAUACAUAUUCACAACAAGAUGCAGUAAACUGCAAGCAAAGGUGAUACAAUGAUGACUGAAGGCGGGGAAAAAAACGCACAAACACGUUCCCCACACAGUGCUAGUAACCCAAUCUAUGCAAUUGCCUUCAAUGCUUUAUAACGCAAUAUUUCAUGAGUAUCAGCAUUAUUAUAUUCAUCUCUUCCAAUUCAAGAUUAAAGCCUCACCUGCAUAAUUUAGAACUGAUACUAGAUAGAACAAUUAAUACCACAAACACUUGCCAGGUUUUUGUCCUGGCAGAUUGAGGUCCCAUUUGGAUACACAAUGCUAAACUUUAGCACUGUGCUAAAGUUUAGCACUUGAGGUUGUUUGAAUACAGUGCUAAAGUUUAGCACCUUGGGUGAGAAAUAACUACAUUGCCCUCAUUUAGGACUGGCUUAGGGAAAAGUGGAGAGCAGAGAGAGGGGGGGCAACUAGAAAAAAAGUAAGCUUGAAGAUCACUUUUAGCACUAUUAGCAAGUUUUAGCACCCUUUAGGUGUGCUAAUGAAAAAGAGUGUGCUAAACUUUAGCACAAGUGCUAAAAGUGUUGUGCUAAAGCACCAUGUAUCCAAACGGGGCCUAAGAUUGCAGUAAAAAAAAAAAAGGCAAAACACACAUGACACAAC